AAUGAACGCUGGCGGCAUGCCUAACACAUGCCAGUCGAGCGAACGCACGGGGAGUUUUCUUGUCUGAUGUUGUCGCCGGUCGGGUGAGUCCCAUGUGUAUAACCUACCUAUCCGACUGGGGUACCUACACGGGACCAGAUCUAAUACCCGAUGAUAUUUUGAACCUGAUGGUUCACAAGUGAAAUACGCUCUUGCUGAGACUAAUAGCUGGCUCCGCGUUGGAUGAGCUAGUUGGUAAGGAAACGGCUUACCAACGCUAGGAUGCAUAGCCGACCUGAGAGAGUGGACAGACAGACUGGAAGUGAGACACGGUCCAGACUCCUGCGGUAGGAAGCAGUCGGGAAUCUUACGCAAUGGGCGAAAGCGUGAUAGAGCAACGCGGCGUGAGUGAUGAAGGUCUUAGGAUGGUAAAGCGCUGUAAGUAGGAGGGAAGGAAAGUUAGUUUACCCGUGAAGAUAUUGACGGUACCGGAAGAAUAAGCCCCGGCUAACUACGUG
This 497-nucleotide ribosomal RNA is filed under the name uncultured bacterium. RNAcentral describes it as "partial 16S ribosomal RNA". It matches the Rfam family "Bacterial small subunit ribosomal RNA", at positions 29 to 507 of the family's 1533-position model. The record is from RNAcentral.